AUUGAACGCUGGCGGCAGGCCUAACACAUGCAAGUCGAGCGGGGGUAGCAAUACCCUAGCGGCGAACGGGUGAGGAAUGCUUGGGAAUCUGCCUCGUAGUGGGGGGAUAACGUUCCGAAAGGUACGCUAAUACCGCAUACGUCCUACGGGAGAAAGGGGGGAUCUUCGGACCUCUCGCUAUGAGAUGAGCCCAAGCGGGAUUAGCUAGUUGGUGAGGUAAAGGCUCACCAAGGCUACGAUCCCUAGCUGGUCUGGGAGGAUGACCAGCCACACUGGGACUGAGACACGGCCCAGACUCCUACGGGAGGCAGCAGUGGGGAAUAUUGCGCAAUGGGCGAAAGCCUGACGCAGCGACGCCGCGUGGGUGAUGAAGGCCUU
RNAcentral lists this ribosomal RNA (378 nucleotides) under uncultured bacterium. Its description in RNAcentral is "bacterial SSU rRNA". It matches the Rfam family "Bacterial small subunit ribosomal RNA", at positions 29 to 418 of the family's 1533-position model. The record is from RNAcentral.